UACAGAGGUCUCAAGCGUUGUUCGGAUUCAUUGGGCGUAAAGGGUGCGUAGGCGGCGCGGUAAGUCGGGUGUGAAAUUUCGAGGCUUAACUUCGAAACUGCAUUCGAUACUGCCGUGCUUGAGGACUGGAGAGGAGACUGGAAUUUACGGUGUAGCGGUGAAAUGCGUAGAUAUCGUAAGGAAGACCAGUGGCGAAGGCGGGUCUCUGGACAGCUCCUGACGCUGAGGCACGAAGGCCAGGGGAGCAAACGGG
RNAcentral lists this ribosomal RNA (253 nucleotides) under uncultured bacterium. RNAcentral's name for it is "partial 16S ribosomal RNA". It matches the Rfam family "Bacterial small subunit ribosomal RNA", at positions 524 to 776 of the family's 1533-position model. The record is from RNAcentral.